This 232-nucleotide non-coding RNA is filed under the name Aquiflexum balticum. Lineage: Bacteria; Pseudomonadati; Bacteroidota; Cytophagia; Cytophagales; Cyclobacteriaceae. The record is from RNAcentral. RNAcentral also lists the same sequence under 1 other name.
AUGUUUGCAACGGAAAUUGGUUCCCGAACCUCAAUCAGGCACUCGGGAUUAAAAGGGAAUCCGGUCAAAAUCCGGAGCUGUCCCCGCAACUGUAACCCCAUCCCGACCUAUUCGGGAUAGUAAUUUAUCUUCUUCAAGUGCCAUUGUCCCUCCCGUAACUUUCGGAAUUAAGGGGUGAGAAGGCCGGUAAAUUCAGGGAAGCCAGGAGACCUGCCUUUUUCAUCAGUAUUCA